UUCUCGUUCCUAUAUAAUGGCGGUCUUCAACCUAUCUUCAUCAACAUUCCCCCUUAUUCCUUUUCAGUGAUGUACAUUCAAGGCCUCUUCCGAAUCAGCCUUUUAGGAUUGGUCCGUAUGUGAUCUGAUUUUGAGCAUCUGGAUCACGAGGAUACAUUCAUCUAGAACAAAACGGAUUUGCAGAAUCAGAGAGGAUGAAGAAAGCCAUACCUAUUGUUGCGUUGGUAAUAACUGCACAGCUUGGGACCUGGACUGUUAGUGGGAAGAUAUGCAGAAAUGAAGCUUGUCAACGACACCUAGGGUGAUUCAAUAGUUUGAAAUAAUUUUCAAAUAGAAUUAUACUUAAAGAAGGAUCGCAUUUGAAGUUGUACCUUGUACUUUUUCUAUAGUUCAACUUACAAUGAAAUUCCAUUAAUUUUGCUA
Molecule: long non-coding RNA, 423 nt
Organism: Cynara cardunculus var. scolymus (artichoke)
Lineage: Eukaryota; Viridiplantae; Streptophyta; Magnoliopsida; Asterales; Asteraceae
Exons: 2
Source: RefSeq, a predicted model, not a curated record